This 427-nucleotide ribosomal RNA is filed under the name uncultured bacterium. RNAcentral's name for it is "partial 16S ribosomal RNA". It matches the Rfam family "Bacterial small subunit ribosomal RNA", at positions 355 to 774 of the family's 1533-position model. The record is from RNAcentral.
UGGGGAAUAUUGCACAAUGGGCGCAAGCCUGAUGCAGCCAUGCCGCGUGUAUGAAGAAGGCCUUCGGGUUGUAAAGUACUUUCAGCGGGGAGGAAGGUGUUGUGGUUAAUAACCACAGCAAUUGACGUUACCCGCAGAAGAAGCACCGGCUAACUCCGUGCCAGCAGCCGCGGUAAUACGGAGGGGGCAAGCGUUAAUCGGAAUUACUGGGCGUAAAGCGCACGCAGGCGGUCUGUCAAGUCGGAUGUGAAAUCCCCGGGCUCAACCUGGGAACUGCAUCCGAAACUGGCAGGCUUGAGUCUUGUAGAGGGGGGUAGAAUUCCAGGUGUAGCGGUGAAAUGCGUAGAGAUCUGGAGGAAUACCGGUGGCGAAGGCGGCCCCCUGGACAAAGACUGACGCUCAGGUGCGAAAGCGUGGGGAGCAAACA